RNAcentral lists this ribosomal RNA (492 nucleotides) under uncultured bacterium. RNAcentral's name for it is "partial 16S ribosomal RNA". It matches the Rfam family "Bacterial small subunit ribosomal RNA", at positions 29 to 507 of the family's 1533-position model. The record is from RNAcentral.
AGUGAACGCUGGCGGUAGGCCUAACACAUGCAAGUCGAACGGCAGCACAGUAAGAGCUUGCUCUUACGGGUGGCGAGUGGCGGACGGGUGAGGAAUACAUCGGAAUCUACUUUUUCGUGGGGGAUAACGUAGGGAAACUUACGCUAAUACCGCAUACGACCUACGGGUGAAAGCAGGGGAUCUUCGGACCUUGCGCGAUUGAAUGAGCCGAUGUCGGAUUAGCUAGUUGGCGGGGUAAAGGCCCACCAAGGCGACGAUCCGUAGCUGGUCUGAGAGGAUGAUCAGCCACACUCGAACUGAGACACGGUCCAGACUCCUACGGGAGGCAGCAGUGGGGAAUAUUGGACAAUGGGCGCAAGCCUGAUCCAGCUAUACCGCGUGGGUGAAGAAGGCCUUCGGGUUGUAAAGCCCUUUUGUUGGGAAAGAAAAGCAGCAGGUUAAUACCCCGCUGUUCUGACGGUACCCAAAGAAUAAGCACCGGCUAACUUCGUG